RNAcentral lists this transfer RNA (76 nucleotides) under Clostridiales bacterium. Its description in RNAcentral is "tRNA-Asp". It matches the Rfam family "tRNA". Rfam says of the family: Transfer RNA (tRNA) molecules are approximately 80 nucleotides in length. Lineage: Bacteria; Bacillati; Bacillota; Clostridia; Eubacteriales. The record is from RNAcentral.
GGCGGGUUCGUCUAGCGGUCUAGGAUAGCGGCUUGUCACGCCGCAGACACGGGUUCAAUUCCCGUACCUGUCGCCA